CUUGUCUGGGAUGUCUCCCAGAAGCAUAGCAUAAGUUUGAAAUAGACAGUAUAGAGCCAAUAUUCAUAACGUCAGCUACAAAAAUGAUACACACAUAUAGACAGCAUAAUCAUAACCAGCAAACCCUAACCUCUCUAUAGACCCCUUCCAUGACCACCUUUGUUCAAUAUUUGCUGCAAAUAUAUUACAGUGGUUGUAACAAUGAUCUAUACAGUUACAGAUCAUGUCAAUAACAUCACAGUAAGAUGCAAACUUAUACUGACCUGGUGAUGUGGCUGACCUUUUGGGGUCAGAAAAACAUUUUGUCAAUGUGCACAGAGUUUUUAAAUAACCUGUCACUGUACUGGACCUAAGUGCUGAUUAGGAGUCAAAGAACUGGAAUGCAAUGAAGGAGGCUGUGUAAUUUCUUUUUCCAGCCUCUCAAUAAGUGGUGUGAGUGAUCAGAAGCACAGUUUGUGACUGGUUGGUGAGUUUAACUUCAGUAUUAACCACCAGAUUUAGUGGCAUCUGCUCUCCCUUUUUCAGCCUCCUUCCCUGAUCUUGGCAUUUUCAGUGAGGACUGCCCCAAGCACACCAGGUCACACUAAGUACUGAAAUUAAAUUAAUAGAAUGUUUUUUAUGACAAAGUCUUAUGAAAUCAACUAAACUCCUUUGUUUUCUUUCAUCUGAGCAACGUUUUCAGUUUCAAAACCUGAUGUGAUCUCCCAGCUGGAACAAGGGGAAGAGUCAUGGGUCCUAGACCUCCAGCGUUCAGAGGAAAGAGAGAUCCUGAGAUCUCCCUGCACAGCAGGUGAUGCAAUAGUAU
Trachemys scripta elegans is the source of this 805-nucleotide long non-coding RNA. RefSeq lists it as uncharacterized. The transcript has 2 exons. The record is from RefSeq and is a predicted model, not a curated record. Lineage: Eukaryota; Metazoa; Chordata; Testudines; Emydidae.